CAGAGGGGGCAAGCGUUAUUCGGAAUUAUUGGGCGUAAAGGGCGCGUAGGCGGCUUUGCAAGUGACGGGUGAAAUCCCUCGGCUUAACCGAGGAACUGCCUGUCAGACUGCAUGGCUUGAGACCGGGAGAGGUGAGUGGAAUUCCCAGUGUAGCGGUGAAAUGCGUAGAUAUUGGGAGGAACACCAGUGGCGAAGGCGGCUCACUGGACCGGUACUGACGCUGAGGCGCGAAAGCGUGGGUAGCAAACAGGAUUAGAUACCCUGGUAGUCCACGCCGUAAACGAUGAGUGCUUGGUGUAGCGGGUAUCGACCCCUGCUGUGCCGAAGUCAACACAUUAAGCACUCCGCCUGGGGAGUACGGUCGCAAGACUG
RNAcentral lists this ribosomal RNA (372 nucleotides) under uncultured organism. RNAcentral's name for it is "bacterial SSU rRNA". It matches the Rfam family "Bacterial small subunit ribosomal RNA", at positions 526 to 896 of the family's 1533-position model. The record is from RNAcentral.